This 467-nucleotide ribosomal RNA is filed under the name uncultured Glomus. Its description in RNAcentral is "SSU rRNA". It matches the Rfam family "Eukaryotic small subunit ribosomal RNA", at positions 569 to 1041 of the family's 1831-position model. Lineage: Eukaryota; Fungi; Glomeromycota; Glomeromycetes; Glomerales; Glomeraceae. The record is from RNAcentral.
AGCAGCCGCGGUAAUUCCAGCUCCAAUAGCGUAUAUUAAAGUUGUUGCAGUUAAAAAGCUCGUAGUUGAAUUUCGGGACCAAUUUGUUGGUCGUGCCUCGGUACGUACUGGUAUUAUUGGUUUCUCCCUUCUGAAGAACCUCGAUGCCAUUAAUUUGGUGUCGUGGGGAAUCAGGACUGUUACUUUGAAAAAAUUAGAGUGUUUAAAGCAAGCAUACGCUUGAAUACAUUAGCAUGGAAUAAUGAAAUAGGACGUUUGAUUCUAUUUUGUUGGUUUCUAGGAUCGACGUAAUGAUUAAUAGGGAUAGUUGGGGGCAUUAGUAUUCAAUUGUCAGAGGUGAAAUUCUUGGAUUUAUUGAAGACUAACUACUGCGAAAGCAUUUGCCAAGGAUGUUUUCAUUAAUCAAGAACGAAAGUUAGGGGAUCGAAGACGAUCAGAUACCGUCGUAGUCUUAACCAUAAACUAUG